AUGCUCACUUCAGCAGCAUAUAUAUAUAUAUAUAGGAACAAUACAGAGAAGACUAGCAUGGCCCCUAUGCAGAAAUGACAUGCGAAUUCAUGAAGCAUUUAUUUUU
Mustela erminea (ermine) is the source of this 106-nucleotide small nuclear RNA. The record is from RefSeq and is a predicted model, not a curated record. NCBI's taxonomy places the organism in Eukaryota, Metazoa, Chordata, Mammalia, Carnivora, Mustelidae.